CAACUCAGAUCCAGCAGCAAGUUAUUCAGAAUUAUGGAUUCACAGCUGAUGGAGAAGGUGCUAUAAAAUUCACACAAGAAGUAAGACGAUUCGAACAUCAAGACCCAGAGAUUGCAAGUUUAGCCCAACGCUUAAAAGCCAUAUCCUUACCACCUCUACCAGUGAAUCAACCAGCAAGUUAGCUUUAAAUACAAGGCAUUCUAUUAUUUAUUUGAUAAUUAAAGUUGAAUGCUGUCAAUA
This is a long non-coding RNA of Anneissia japonica, 240 nucleotides long. RefSeq lists it as uncharacterized. The transcript is spliced from 2 exons. NCBI's taxonomy places the organism in Eukaryota, Metazoa, Echinodermata, Crinoidea, Comatulida, Comatulidae. The record is from RefSeq and is a predicted model, not a curated record.